Molecule: ribosomal RNA, 444 nt
Filed under: uncultured bacterium
Lineage: Bacteria
Description: partial 16S ribosomal RNA
Rfam family: Bacterial small subunit ribosomal RNA
Source: RNAcentral
GUAGGGAAUAUUGGGCAAUGGUCGGAAGACUGACCCAGCCAUGCCGCGUGCAGGAAGACGGCCCUCUGGGUUGUAAACUGCUUUUAUCUGGGAAGAAAAAGGCCAUGCGUGGCAAAUUGCCGGUACCAGAUGAAUAAGCACCGGCUAACUCCGUGCCAGCAGCCGCGGUAAUACGGAGGGUGCGAGCGUUGUCCGGAUUUAUUGGGUUUAAAGGGUGCGUAGGCGGCUGAUUAAGUCAGCGGUGAAAGACUUCGGCUUAACCGGAGCAGUGCCGUUGAUACUGGUUGGCUUGAGUGUCGGAGGGGUACAUGGAAUUGAUGGCGUAGCGGUGAAAUGCAUAGAUACCAUCAGGAACACCGAUAGCGAAGGCAUUGUACUGGCCGACAACUGACGCUGAUGCACGAAAGUGUGGGGAUCGAACAGGAUUAGAUACCCGUGUAGUCC